UAACAUUGGGGUCGGCGUCCGUUAGUCCCAGCGGAGGUGGGACGUGGAUCAGAAUCUCGUGUCCCUGCUUGGUCCAUGGCCCUGGAAGUUAGCUUUUCCGUCGGGUGGGGACAGGCAGACAAAUUGAUUGCAGGAUCCAGAGUGUUCUCUGCCCAGAGCGGUGCUCAUUUGGAAACAGGGGAGUCUUCGGCGGAGAGAGAAGAGCGCCGGCGGCGAUCCACCAUGGAGUUUCCGAUGCAUUCAAGCGGCAGAUCCAGUGUCCUUGAGGAACUAGGAGAGAGCUUGGUGCAAUGGUGCCGGCCGCUGUAGCGCCUGGGCUGAGGGGAGGUGCUACGGUGGAAGAGCAACAGGUGUAGCAGCCAGGAGCGGUGGAUAGCGCUGGUGUGCAGGAGGGAUAACCGCCUGGUUGGACCAAGAGGCUGGGGAUUAGGGCUGAGGCACCGAGAAGAACACCCUGCCCAAAUCGCGUCAGUGUGUUUGAGAAGGCUAUUCGGAGUUAUGCCGACAACCCAGCCGAGAAUGUGAUCACACCAGUGCUUGGCACUACUUUCAGACUCUUUAGGUUAGGCUUAUGACUUCUAUAAUUUGUACUCAUGGGCGAAAGGCUUCGGCAUCCGAUAUGAGAAGAGCCGGCUGAAUGUCGAGAGGACGAAUGCAUGCAGGAAAUAGUGUUAAUUUAGUUAAUCUCAGGAAGGGAGUGUCGUGCGGAUGGCUUUAGGGAGGGACAGAUCCCCACAAGUCUCAGAACUCUCCACGGUGAAGAUGAAUCCACAUGCCCCUGGAUGGAACAAGAGGUAAGCCUGAUGCUUGUUAGUUCAUUCCACCGUAGGACAUAGGAGGCGAAUUCAGUAUGACAGGCAGGUGGGAUGAUUUAGCGUAGUAAUGGAUGUGCAAAAAGAAUUUAGGUAUGGCCAGGUAGUUGGUGUUGAAAAACCAUCAUGUGGAAUGGAAAGGAAGUUUGUGUGGGUUGUAGUAUGGUGAAGCACAUGCCAGUUCCUGGGCUGAAAAAAUUGUACAGAUGUAGAUGCAGGCAAGUUCUGGCAUUCCUGUAGGUAAGAGCCACAAAAUUUUAGUUGCAUUGCUAAGGCAUGUUUUGAUUGAUCGUAUUUGCUGUCAAAUUUAGUAUGUUCGGCCGUAAUGAAGCAAAAAAAAAGCGGCUGUUGCAGAUUGAGGACUGGAUGGAGCUGUUGCACCUAGUAGAGCCCCGUGUCCAUCGCACGUCAGUGCUUUCGAGAAGGCAGUGCGCGGUUAUGCUGAGAACCCCAGUGCUGCCGUAUCUUUGAGUAUGAUUCUCUUUGAAUAAUCAUAGGUUUGGUCUAACUGAGGAGUUCCCAGACUACGCUCGUUGUAGCUAAGAGUGGCAGACUGUCAUCAUGCUGACAGAGGAUGGACGGCUUUGUUUGGCCAGAGUCGAAGGACUCAAUCUCCAUCUGUUGUCACUGAUGGCGAGCAUCGAUGGGCUCGUAAUAUGGACACAUGAAAGGCUCCUAGAUCUCGAGAAGUUUCUUGCGCCGGAAGUGGUGGCGACAUGUAUCUAUGGAGUACAGUAUUCACCUCUGGCAGCCUAUGGUUCUAUGGUCUGCUGUAAGUCAUUUUUAUACUGAGAUGGGCAAAGAAAUGCGAGAACAUGUUUAACUGGUAGAAACUGUUCUCCUAGUGUUGUUUGAACUUGCAGAUAUGUUUUUGCUGAUUUUUUUGCCUAACGAGUAGCUAAAAUUGGCUCCGCUGAUGAAGUUUACAACCGCCUGUGCAGGUACCUAGGUCAUGUUCUUCGUCAUCGUGAAGCACAACUUACUCAUGCAGGGUGCUCAAUCUCUUGCCAUGCCUGGUGAUGCCGUAAAUGCUAGGCAGUCAGUGUGGCUGAAACAAACUUGUACUGCCAAAUAUCAGCAUCAACUUGCAAAAAUGCGACAAAAUAAUCAUGCGAUGUCAUCUUUAGUGAUUUCUACAGAUGUUAUCCGACUGUGAGUUGCUUGGUAUAAUGCAUGUCAUCAUGUCAGAUCGUGUUGA
Triticum aestivum (bread wheat) is the source of this 2010-nucleotide long non-coding RNA. RefSeq lists it as uncharacterized. The transcript has 3 exons. The record is from RefSeq and is a predicted model, not a curated record. Lineage: Eukaryota; Viridiplantae; Streptophyta; Magnoliopsida; Poales; Poaceae.